UGCAAAUCCAGUCAAAAGUUA
Molecule: microRNA, 21 nt
Filed under: Gossypium hirsutum (cotton)
Lineage: Eukaryota; Viridiplantae; Streptophyta; Magnoliopsida; Malvales; Malvaceae
Description: ghr-miR2949a-3p
Source: miRBase by way of RNAcentral